ACAAUACUCCGAGAACUGAAAGGCUUUUUGAAGUCUUCGGAUGGAUAGAAGAACCCCUGAUGCCGUCGAGCCAAGAAAAGUUUCUAAGUUUAGCUAAUGUUGCCCGUACCGUAAACCGACACAGGUGGGUGGGAUGAGUAUUCUAAGGCGCGUGGAAGAACUCUCUUUAAGGAACUCUGCAAAAUAGCACCGUAUCUUCGGUAUAAGGUGUGGUUCGCUUCGUAUUAGGAUUUACUCCGAAAGCGAAGAAACUUACAACAAAGAGUCCCUCCCGACUGUUUACCAAAAACACAGCACUCUGCUAACUCGUAAGAGGAUGUAUAGGGUGUGACGCCUGCCCGGUGCUCGAAGGUUAAUUGAUGGGGUUAGCAUUAGCGAAGCUCUUGAUCGAAGCCCGAGUAAACGGCGGCCGUAACUAUAACGGUCCUAAGGUAGCGAAAUUCCUUGUCGGUUAAAUACCGACCUGCAUGAAUGGCGUAACGAGAUGGGAGCUGUCUCAAAGAGGGAUCCAGUGAAAUUGUAGUGGAGGUGAAAAUUCCUCCUACCCGCGGCAAGACGGAAAGACCCCGUGGACCUUUACUACAGCUUGACACUGCUACUUGGAUAAGAAUGUGCAGGAUAGGUGGGAGGCUUUGAGUAUAUGACGCCAGUUGUAUAUGAGCCAUUGUUGAGAUACCACUCUUUCUUAUUUGGGUAGCUAACCAGCUUGAGUUAUCCUCAAGUGGGACAAUGUCUGGUGGGUAGUUUGACUGGGGCGGUCGCCUCCCAAAUAAUAACGGAGGCUUACAAAGGUUGGCUCAGAACGGUUGGAAAUCGUUCGUAGAGUAUAAAGGUAUAAGCCAGCUUAACUGCAAGACAUACAAGUCAAGCAGAGACGAAAGUCGGUCUUAGUGAUCCGGUGGUUCUGUGUGGAAGGGCCAUCGCUCAAAGGAUAAAAGGUACCCCGGGGAUAACAGGCUGAUCUCCCCCAAGAGCUCACAUCGACGGGGAGGUUUGGCACCUCGAUGUCGGCUCAUCGCAUCCUGGGGCUGGAGCAGGUCCCAAGGGUAUGGCUGUUCGCCAUUUAAAGCGGUACGCGAGCUGGGUUCAGAACGUCGUGAGACAGUUCGGUCCCUAUCUGCCGUGGGCGUAAGAAGAUUGAAGAGAUUUGACCCUAGUACGAGAGGACCGGGUUGAACAAACCACUGGUGUAGCUGUUGUUCUGCCAAGAGCAUCGCAGCGUAGCUAAGUUUGGAAAGGAUAAACGCUGAAAGCAUCUAAGCGUGAAGCCAACUCUAAGAUGAAUCUUCUCUAAGCUCUCUAGAAGACUACUAGUUUGAUAGGCUGGGUGUGUAAUGGAUGAAAGUCCUUUAGCUGACCAGUACUAAUAGAGCGUUUGGCUUAUCUUUAAUAAAGCAU
This 1398-nucleotide ribosomal RNA is filed under the name Campylobacter coli. Its description in RNAcentral is "partial 23S ribosomal RNA". It matches the Rfam family "Bacterial large subunit ribosomal RNA", at positions 1537 to 2925 of the family's 2925-position model. Lineage: Bacteria; Pseudomonadati; Campylobacterota; Epsilonproteobacteria; Campylobacterales; Campylobacteraceae. The record is from RNAcentral.